CACAAUGGGCGCAAGCCUGAUGCAGCCAUGCCGCGUGUAUGAAGAAGGCCUUCGGGUUGUAAAGUACUUUCAGCAGUGAGGAAGGUGGAUAUGUUAAUAGCAUAUUCAUUUGACGUUAGCUGCAGAAGAAGCACCGGCUAACUCCGUGCCAGCAGCCGCGGUAAUACGGAGGGUGCGAGCGUUAAUCGGAAUUACUGGGCGUAAAGCGCAUGCAGGUGGUUUGUUAAGUCAGAUGUGAAAGCCCGGGGCUCAACCUCGGAAUUGCAUUUGAAACUGGCAAACUAGAGUACUGUAGAGGGGGUAGAAUUUCAGGUGUAGCGGUGAAAUGCGUAGAGAUCUGAAGGAAUACCGGUGGCGAAGGCGGCCCCCUGGACAGAUACUGACACUCAGAUGCGAAAGCGUGGGGAGCAAACAGGAUUAUAUACCCUGGUAG
Molecule: ribosomal RNA, 433 nt
Filed under: uncultured bacterium
Lineage: Bacteria
Description: bacterial SSU rRNA
Rfam family: Bacterial small subunit ribosomal RNA
Source: RNAcentral